This 583-nucleotide ribosomal RNA is filed under the name uncultured bacterium. Its description in RNAcentral is "partial 16S ribosomal RNA". It matches the Rfam family "Bacterial small subunit ribosomal RNA", at positions 355 to 932 of the family's 1533-position model. The record is from RNAcentral.
UGGGGAAUUUUGGACAAUGGGCGAAAGCCUGAUCCAGCAAUGCCGCGUGUGUGAAGAAGGCCUUCGGGUUGUAAAGCACUUUUGUCCGGAAAGAAAUCCUUGGCUCUAAUACAGUCGGGGGAUGACGGUACCGGAAGAAUAAGCACCGGCUAACUACGUGCCAGCAGCCGCGGUAAUACGUAGGGUGCAAGCGUUAAUCGGAAUUACUGGGCGUAAAGCGUGCGCAGGCGGUUUGCUAAGACCGAUGUGAAAUCCCCGGGCUCAACCUGGGAACUGCAUUGGUGACUGGCAGGCUAGAGUAUGGCAGAGGGGGGUAGAAUUCCACGUGUAGCAGUGAAAUGCGUAGAGAUGUGGAGGAAUACCGAUGGCGAAGGCGAGCCCCCUGGGCCAAAUACUGACGCCCAUGCACGAAAGCGUGGGGGAGCAAAACAGGAUUAGAUACCCUGGUAGUCCACGCCCUAAACGAUGUCAACUAGUUGUUGGGGAUUCAUUUCCUUAGUAACGUAGCUAACGCGUGAAGUUGACCGCCUGGGGAGUACGGUCGCAAGAUUAAAACUCAAAUGAAUUGACGGGGUCAUAGCUG